GAUGAACGCUAGCGGCAGGCCUAAUACAUGCAAGUCGAGGGGCAGCGGGGUAGCAAUACUGCCGGCGACCGGCGCACGGGUGCGUAACGCGUAUGCAAUCUACCUUUUACUGAGGGAUAGCCCGGAGAAAUUCGGAUUAAUACCUCAUAGUUUAUUUGGGUGGCAUCACUUGGAUAAUAAAGAUUUAUCGGUAAGAGAUGAGCAUGCGUACGAUUAGUUAGUUGGUGAGGUAACGGCUCACCAAGACGAUGAUCGUUAGGGGGUCUGAGAGGAUGAUCCCCCACACUGGUACUGAGAUACGGACCAGACUCCUACGGGAGGCAGCAGUAGGGAAUAUUGGUCAAUGGGCGAGAGCCUGAACCAGCCAUGCCGCGUGCAGGAAGAA
This 385-nucleotide ribosomal RNA is filed under the name uncultured bacterium. RNAcentral's name for it is "bacterial SSU rRNA". It matches the Rfam family "Bacterial small subunit ribosomal RNA", at positions 28 to 412 of the family's 1533-position model. The record is from RNAcentral.